GACGAACGCUGGCGGCGUGCCUAAUACAUGCAAGUAGGACGCAGUUGCGAACGGGUGAGUAACGCGUAGGUAACUACCCCUUAGAGGGGGAUAACUAUUGGAAACGAUAGCUCAUACCGCAUACUAGCAGAUGGACCUGCGUUGUAUUAGCUAGUAGGUUGGGUAAUGGCCUACCUAGGCAACGCAACAUAGCCGACCUGUGAGGGUGAUCGGCCACACUGGGACUGGGAAACGUCCCAGACUCCUACGGGAGGCAGCAGUAGGGAAUAUUGGGCAAUGGACGCAAGCCUGAUCCAGCAAUGCCGCGUGUGUGAAGAAGGCCUUCGGGUUGUAAAGUACUUUCAGCGAGGAGGCGUUACUCGCAGAAGAAGCACCGGCUAACUCCGUGCCAGCAGCCGCGGUAAUAC
RNAcentral lists this ribosomal RNA (407 nucleotides) under uncultured bacterium. RNAcentral describes it as "partial 16S ribosomal RNA". It matches the Rfam family "Bacterial small subunit ribosomal RNA", at positions 28 to 526 of the family's 1533-position model. The record is from RNAcentral.